This 477-nucleotide ribosomal RNA is filed under the name Triticum aestivum (bread wheat). Its description in RNAcentral is "partial small subunit ribosomal RNA". The record is from RNAcentral. Lineage: Eukaryota; Viridiplantae; Streptophyta; Magnoliopsida; Poales; Poaceae.
AUGUUGCAGUCCGCACUGGCUGAUCAGACUGUACUGUUGCAAAGUUGUGUGGUGCGGGUUGAGAGCUUUCUAGAGCGAGCGGAGGUUGCUCUGGGUAGACUAUCCCUUGUGUCGGCUCUGUUGCAGACCACUCUGACAUCACAUUCUCCUUGUGCGUCCGGUGUUUGCUCCGCAGAAGACAGGGGUGAGGAGUUGUAUGGCUCUUUCUCCCCUCGUGUUGGAGUCCAUUCAUCAUCGGUGCCUACCUCCCCUCCUAUGGAGUCUUCCACUAAGGGCUUGUCCAUCGCCGUGCUUGUGACUCCGGUGCUGCAGAUCAUGCCAGAGCUUAGGGAGCUAUGCCUGAGUCUAUCAGAGGAGCAUACGAAGGUGGACAUGUCGACGGCCUCGAUUGAAGGACAAGUUUCGCCUCUGUCAAGUGAGCAGUUGGAGGUUUCUUUGGUUGAUGAUGCUAAAGGGAAGGCAGCUGCAAUUUCAUGA